Molecule: ribosomal RNA, 505 nt
Filed under: uncultured bacterium
Lineage: Bacteria
Description: partial 16S ribosomal RNA
Rfam family: Bacterial small subunit ribosomal RNA
Source: RNAcentral
GACGAACGCUGGCGGCGUGCCUAAUACAUGCAAGUGGGACGCAAGGAAACACACUGUGCUUGCACACCGUGUUUUCUUGAGUCGCGAACGGGUGAGUAACGCGUAGGUAACCUGCCUAUUAGCGGGGGAUAACUAUUGGAAACGAUAGCUAAUACCUCAUAAUAUUAAUUAUUGCAUGAUAAUUGAUUGAAAGAUGCAAGCGCAUCACUAGUAGAUGGACCUGCGUUGUAUUAGCUAGUUGGUAAGGUAAGAGCUUACCAAGGCGACGAUACAUAGCCGACCUGAGAGGGUGAUCGGCCACACUGGGACUGAGACACGGCCCAGACUCCUACGGGAGGCAGCAGUAGGGAAUCUUCGGCAAUGGACGAAAGUCUGACCGAGCAACGCCGCGUGAGUGAAGAAGGUUUUCGGAUCGUAAAGCUCUGUUGUAAGUCAAGAACGUGUGUGAGAGUGGAAAGUUCACACAGUGACGGUAGCUUACCAGAAAGGGACGGCUAACUACGUG